GAAGUUUCCCUCAGGAUAGCUGGCGUUCUCGCUCUUUUCCCGACGUACGCAGUUUUAUCCGGUAAAGCGAAUGAUUAGAGGUCUUGGGGCCGAAACGAUCUCAACCUAUUCUCAAACUUUAAAUGGGUAAGAAGCCCGGCUCGCUGGCGUGGAGCCGGGCGUGGAAUGCGAGUGCCUAGUGGGCCACUUUUGGUAAGCAGAACUGGCGCUGCGGGAUGAACCGAAGGCCGGGUUAAGGCGCCGGAUGCCGAGUUAUCAUGGCAGGAGCAAGCAGCCUUCAGAUGACGAUAUAGAAUGCUCAGCUCCUGCUGCUCAUGCCUGCUUAGAUGCUGCCAUGCUCCUGCCAUGAUAAUGCA
Non-coding RNA from Mus musculus (house mouse), 356 nucleotides. The record is from Rfam. Lineage: Eukaryota; Metazoa; Chordata; Mammalia; Rodentia; Muridae.